UAGAUAUAGUAAUGGUAUAUACAGUUUAAAUUAGUGUUGUGAAUUUUGUAGCAUCACUAUGCAUUUUAUAUCCUAGAUCUAUCAUGCUCAACAUAUGUAUCUGAUCCGAUGACCAUUUCAACUUUCACCAAGGGAUGUUGUAAUUUUGGGGGAUUCUAAGAUGGCUAUUGAGUGAUGAUUCUCCCUACACUUCUCCAUUUUUUUGCUAGUAAUGCUCUUUCUUCUGUUCUUCAUUCUCUGUUAGCCACAAAUUAUGUCCUUUUGGUGUUCCUUUUUCAGAUCAUGAUACAGAUAGUGCAGUGAACUAUGUGAUAACGCAAAAAUGGCCUUAGUGAGAUUAGCCAAUUUUCAGAUGAUUUCUUCUUUCUUUCCUCUUUUGGACUAAUCCUUCUUGAUGAACCAGUAUUUUGCCUUUUCCUUUUGUUACAAUUUCAUCUUUUGUGUUUAGUGGUUUUAUAAAAUUAUCAUUUUUUAGAAGGCAAAUUUUGAGAUAUUAGGUCUCUUUUUGGUUUGAGAAUUUUUCUUCCCAUCCUCACUUGUUCUUCCAAUUACAUGCAUAAAAGCUUAUCAAACUUGACCCCCUAAAAGAAAACAUCAAUGGUGGCCCUAUGAAUGACCAUCCUAUCAUCAUUUAUGUGUUUUAAUCACAGAGCUGUGGAUUGAGCAUUAUGAUUUUGUGUAGACGGAUAUUUUAUUUUCCUCUCAUAGAAGCGAACUGAUUUUUGAGUUAUUCCUUCUGCAGCCGUAAUAAGGGUAUUGAUGAUGAAGAGGAAUAUUACAAAUGGCAACCUUGGCGAAUAAUUUGAGCCAAGCCUUCCAUUAUGGCAUCUACAGUAACGAUGACAUGUAGGAAUUUUCUCAUGUUUGCCCGGUAGUAGGAUUUGAUGUCAUUUUAAGAAUUAGGAAGAGUAAUACACAGGUUAAGGUUUGUGUUUAUCACUUUUGAAUUGUUUUUCAUUUUGACUUUAAACUCUAGGGUUCAAUAAUUUUUGUUUUAAGUCUUUAGGGUCAAUAUUUUUGAGAGUAGCAUUUAGCUUUUGAAAUAGAGUAUUUGGUUUAAUGUUCUGUCUUUCAUAGUAUAGGAAAAUUUGGUGCAUUUUCUAGGAAUUUCGUUUGGAGUGUAGUGUGUCUAAAAUUUAUGGCUUUGAAAUUAAUAUUAUGGGUUUAGUGCCUAAAGCUUAGGGUUUAUUGUUGAAUAUAUUUAGGUGCAUUUUCUAGGUUCUUCAUUUGGGGUAGAGGCUAGAUGAUUUAAAAUGUUUGUGCUUAGGGUUUAUAGUUUUUUUUUUCUUUUCUUGCACUCUAAUGGGUUUAUAGUUUAGUGCUUGGGGUUUAUCCUUUAGGGUAUCUUAAGGGUAUUUGAUUCAUUGGUUUUGACUUUAUGUUAAUUAUUUGGGUUUACUGCUUGGAGUUUAG
RNAcentral lists this long non-coding RNA (1413 nucleotides) under Spirodela polyrhiza (greater duckweed). RNAcentral's name for it is "long non-coding RNA (SPOL_LNC001990)". Lineage: Eukaryota; Viridiplantae; Streptophyta; Magnoliopsida; Alismatales; Araceae. The record is from RNAcentral.